AACGAACGCUGGCGGCAGGCUUAACACAUGCAAGUCGAACGCAUCGCAAGAUGAGUGGCAGACGGGUGAGUAACGCGUGGGAACAUACCCUUUUCUACGGAAUAGCUCUGGGAAACUGGAAUUAAUACCGUAUACGCCCUACGGGGGAAAGAUUUAUCGGGGAAGGAUUGGCCCGCGUUGGAUUAGCUAGUUGGUGGGGUAAAGGCCUACCAAGGCGACGAUCCAUAGCUGGUCUGAGAGGAUGAUCAGCCACAUUGGGACUGAGACACGGCCCAAACUCCUACGGGAGGCAGCAGUGGGGAAUAUUGGACAAUGGGCGCAAGCCUGAUCCAGCCAUGCCGCGUGAGUGAUGAAGGCCUUAGGGUUGUAAAGCUCUUUCGCCGAUGAAGAUAAUGACGGUAGUCGGAGAAGAAGCCCCGGCUAACUUCGUGCCAGCAGCCGCAGUAA
Molecule: ribosomal RNA, 447 nt
Filed under: uncultured bacterium
Lineage: Bacteria
Description: partial 16S ribosomal RNA
Rfam family: Bacterial small subunit ribosomal RNA
Source: RNAcentral